CGCCUCGCUGUCCUCGAUGUACCAGAGUCAGAGGAGGAGAUCAUCUUCAACCAGCAGCCACGACCUUCAUGGAUUGGAUGGUCCCUAGGUACUAAGGACUCAAACCCAUCACCAUGACAACCGACACGAGAGUAAGGUCACAGGAAAUGCCCAGAGCGAUGUGGCCUUCAGCAGUCUGCUGGAAGCUGAGGUGAUUCCAGACAGGAAGUUGCUUCAGCAGAUUAGCAGGGCAGAGAGCAGCAGCAGCCGCAACAUAGAUCCCUACCUUGACUUUUUUCUGUCUCUCGCCAUUUGCAACACUGUGGUGGUUUCUAUGGCAACAGCUCGGAGACAGAGUUUGAGUGGGUUUUCACGCUCCGAUCAGAGAAGCAACCCAUUGGAUACUUUGUCCAGCCUGACAAAAAAAUCUGUCUCUCUUCGCCCUAUUUUUACCUCCUGGCAGCACAAGCCCAAAAAAAAU
Molecule: long non-coding RNA, 460 nt
Organism: Etheostoma cragini (Arkansas darter)
Lineage: Eukaryota; Metazoa; Chordata; Actinopteri; Perciformes; Percidae
Exons: 3
Source: RefSeq, a predicted model, not a curated record